Molecule: long non-coding RNA, 200 nt
Filed under: Elaeis guineensis (African oil palm)
Lineage: Eukaryota; Viridiplantae; Streptophyta; Magnoliopsida; Arecales; Arecaceae
Description: long non-coding RNA (EGUI_LNC078051)
Source: RNAcentral
GAUUGGACUAUGGAUGAACCUAGAUAUUGCCAAAUAGAUUGAAUAAUAGGUUUAUUUGAGCUGUUAGAGAUGUCCAUAUAUAUAUAUCAAAACCCCUUCUUAAGCUUGAUUCGCAAAUAAGCCAAGCCUGAGACUUUGGGUUGGCAAAAAUAAGCGAGAGCUCGAAAUCAGCUUGAAAACAAACUUGUCAUACUCAAUAG